This 253-nucleotide ribosomal RNA is filed under the name uncultured bacterium. Its description in RNAcentral is "partial 16S ribosomal RNA". It matches the Rfam family "Bacterial small subunit ribosomal RNA", at positions 524 to 776 of the family's 1533-position model. The record is from RNAcentral.
UACGGAGGGUGCAAGCGUUAUCCGGAUUCACUGGGUUUAAAGGGUGCGUAGGUGGGUUGAUAAGUCAGUGGUGAAAUCCCCGAGCUUAACUUGGGAACUGCCAUUGAUACUAUUGAUCUUGAAUACCGUGGAGGUCAGCGGAAUAUGUCAUGUAGCGGUGAAAUGCUUAGAUAUGACAUAGAGCACCAAUUGCGAAGGCAGCUGGCUACACAAAUAUUGACACUGAGGCACGAAAGCGUGGGGAUCAAACAGG